Molecule: small nuclear RNA, 299 nt
Filed under: Castor canadensis (American beaver)
Lineage: Eukaryota; Metazoa; Chordata; Mammalia; Rodentia; Castoridae
Description: 7SK RNA (ENSCCNG00000003394.1)
Rfam family: 7SK RNA
About the family: 7SK was discovered as an abundant small nuclear RNA in the mid-70s but a possible function has only recently been suggested. Two independent studies have found that 7SK RNA binds the CDK9/cyclin T complex (known as elongation factor P-TEFb).
Source: Rfam by way of RNAcentral
GGAUGUGAGGGCGAUCUGGCUGCGACAUCUGUCACCCCAUUGAUCGCCAGGGUUGAUUCGGCUGAUCUGGCUGGCUAGGCGGGUGUCCCCUUCCUCCCUCACCGCUCCAUGUGCGUCCCUCCCGAAGCUGCGCGCUCGGUCGAAGAGGACGACCAUCCCCGAUAGAGGAGGACCGUUCUUCGGUCAAGGGUAUACGAGUAGCUGCGCUCCCCUGCUAGAACCUCCAAACAAGCUCUCAAGGAUGGGGAGAAGUCACCUGGGUAAAAGGGAUGGAACAUUCCAAGCAAAGUGAAGAGCUU